Molecule: ribosomal RNA, 253 nt
Filed under: uncultured bacterium
Lineage: Bacteria
Description: partial 16S ribosomal RNA
Rfam family: Bacterial small subunit ribosomal RNA
Source: RNAcentral
UACGGGGGGUGCAAGCGUUGCUCGGAAUCACUGGGCGUAAAGGGUGCGUAGGCGGCUUGGUAGGUCUGGUGUGAAAGCCCCGGGCUCAGCCCGGGAAGGGCACUAGAAACUGCCAAGCUAGAGUGCCGGAGGGGAGAGUGGAAUUCCUGGUGUAGCGGUGAAAUGCGUAGAGAUCAGGAGGAAUACCGGUGGCGAAAGCGACUCUCUGGACGGCAACUGACGCUGAGGCACGAAAGCGUGGGGAGCAAACAGG